AUCGCUUCUCAGCCUUUUGGCUAAGAUCAAGUGUAAAAAUACUGAAAUUUUAAAUUAUGAUAGACUAUGAUUUUAGAUUUAACAUGUUAAUGAUUCUAAUCAUUCCUGUAACUUCUUAAAAAGUGUCCCGACUGUAGAGAUGAAUUAUAGACUAAAA
RNAcentral lists this small nuclear RNA (157 nucleotides) under Catagonus wagneri (Chacoan peccary). RNAcentral's name for it is "U2 spliceosomal RNA (ENSCWAG00000008996.1)". It matches the Rfam family "U2 spliceosomal RNA". From Rfam's summary of the family: U2 is a small nuclear RNA (snRNA) component of the spliceosome (involved in pre-mRNA splicing). Lineage: Eukaryota; Metazoa; Chordata; Mammalia; Artiodactyla; Tayassuidae. The record is from Rfam by way of RNAcentral.